This 2395-nucleotide ribosomal RNA is filed under the name human gut metagenome. RNAcentral's name for it is "bacterial LSU rRNA". It matches the Rfam family "Bacterial large subunit ribosomal RNA", at positions 508 to 2925 of the family's 2925-position model. The record is from RNAcentral.
GGAAAGGUGAAAAGAACCCCGGGAGGGGAGUGAAAGAGAACCUGAAACCCUGUGUUUACAAGCAGAGAAAGCACGGUUUAAAGUGCGAUCUCGUACCUUUUGUAGAAUGGACCGGCGAGUUACGUUAUGCAGCGAGGUUAAGGACUACAGGUCUGGAGCCGAAGUGAAAGCGAGCAUGAAUAGUGCGACAAGUUGCAUGACGUAGACCCGAAACCAGGUGACCUAUCCAUGGGCAGGUUGAAGUGGUGGUAGAACACCAUGGAGGACCGAACCAGACGUCUGUUGAAAAAGGCGGGGAUGACCUGUGGAUAGCGGAGAAAUUCCAAUCGAACUUGGAUAUAGCUGGUUCUCCUCGAAAUAGCUUUAGGGCUAGCCUCGUGUUAGUGAAUAGGAGGUAGAGCACUGAAUGAGCUAGGGGGCCACAAAGCUUACCGAACUCUAUCAAACUUCGAAUGCCUGUUAAACGAUGCACGGGAGUCAGACUGCGAGUUAUAAGAUCCGUAGUCAAAAGGGAAACAGCCCAGAUCGACAGCUAAGGCCCCUAAGUGAUGGUUAAGUGGAAAAGGAUGUGGAAUUGCACAGACAACCAGGAUGUUGGCUCAGAAGCAGCCAUUCAUUUAAAGAGUGCGUAAUAGCUCACUGGUCGAGUGAUUGUGCGCCGAAGAUUCAACGGGGCUAAAACCAUCCGCCGAAGCUUCGGGAUUAUCGAAAGAUGAUCGGUAGAGGAGCAUUGUAUAAGCGCAGAAGCUGGAGCGAAAGCACCAGUGGAGUUUAUAGAAGAGAGAAUGCCGGUAUGAGUAACGAGAUGUAAGCGAGAAACUUACACGUCGAAAGCCCAAGGAUUCCUGGGGAAGGUUCAUCCGCCCAGGGUAAGUCGGGGCCUAAGCCGAGGACGAUAGUCGUAGGCGAUGGAAAACAGGUUGAGAUUCCUGUACCGCCCAUAUGAGUGAUGCAUUGACACAGAAGGAUAGCAUGAGCCGGUUGAUGGUAGAGCCGGUCGAAGAGCGUAGGCUGCUUGGUAGUGAAGUACGCUGAGCGUAAGGCUGAAACUUGAUAGGGAGCGAAAAUAAGUAGCGAAGCAUGUGAAUCCCCGCUGGCGAGAAAAGAUGCUGGCAAUGAUAUGGGCGCCCGUACCGCAAACCGACGCAGGUGGGCGAGGAGAGAAUCCUAAGACGAACGAGAGAACUCUUGUUAAGGAACUCGGCAAAAUGACCACGUAACUUCGGGAGAAGUGGUGCCUCGAAAGAGGCCGCAGAGAAUAGGCCCAAGCGACUGUUUAGCAAAAACACAGGUGUUUGCGAAAGCGAGAGCUGAAGUAUAAGCGCUGACGCCUGCCCGGUGCUGGAAGGUUAAGAGGAGUUGUCAGGCAACGAAGCAGCGAAUCGAAGCCCCAGUAAACGGCGGCCGUAACUAUAACGGUCCUAAGGUAGCGAAAUUCCUUGUCGGGUAAGUUCCGACCCGCACGAAUGGCGUAACGACUUGGGUACUGUCUCAACAAGAGACUCGGUGAAAUUGAAGUAUGUGUGAAGAUGCACAUUACCCGCGACUGGACGGAAAGACCCCGUAGAGCUUUACUGUAGCUUAGCAUUGGAUUUCGAUAAUGGAUGUACAGGAUAGGUGGGAGACUGGGAGACUGUGGCGUCAGCUGCAGAGGAGUCGCUGUUGGGAUACCACUCUUCUGUUAUUGAAAUUCUAACAAGCAGCCGUGAACCGGCGCUUGGACCGUGCUAGGUAGGCAGUUUGACUGGGGCGGUCGCCUCCCAAAGAGUAACGGAGGCGCCCAAAGGUUCCCUCAGAAUGGAUGGAAACCAUUCGAAGAGUGCAAAGGCAGAAGGGAGCCUGACUGCGAGACGGACAGGUCGAGCAGAGAGGAAACUCGGGCUUAGUGAUCCGGCGGUAUUGAGUGGAAAAGCCGUCGCUCAACGGAUAAAAGCUACCUCGGGGAUAACAGGCUGAUCUCCCCCAAGAGUCCACAUCGACGGGGAGGUUUGGCACCUCGAUGUCGGCUCAUCGCAUCCUGGGGCUGUAUUCGGUCCCAAGGGUUUGGCUGUUCGCCAAUUAAAGCGGCACGCGAGCUGGGUUCAGAACGUCGUGAGACAGUUCGGUCCCUAUCCAUCGUGGGCGAAGGAAUCAUGAAAGGAGCUGUCCCUAGUACGAGAGGACCGGGAUGGACGCAUCACUGGUGAAACUGUUGUCGUGCCAACGGCAUAGCAGGGAAGCGAAAUGCGGACGGGAUAAACGCUGAAGGCAUCUAAGCGUGAAGCCCACCUUAAGAUAAAGAUUCCCACAGCGUAAGCUGGUAAGACCCCUUGAAGACGACAAGGUUGAUAGGUCAGCGCUGGAAGCGCGGUAACGCGUGGAGGUUGCUGAUACUAAUAGGUCGAGGGCUUGAUCU